GCGUUGUUCGGAGUUACUGGGCGUAAAGAGUGUGUAGGCUGUUCUCUAAGUUCGGUGUGAAAUCUCCCGGCUUAACUGGGAGGGUGCGCCGAAAACUGGAGGGCUUGAGUAUGGGAGAGGAAAGCGGAAUUCCUGGUGUAGCGGUGAAAUGCGUAGAUAUCAGGAGGAACACCUGCGGUGUAGACGGCUUUCUGGACCAUCACUGACGCUGAGACACGAAAGCGUG
RNAcentral lists this ribosomal RNA (226 nucleotides) under uncultured bacterium. Its description in RNAcentral is "partial 16S ribosomal RNA". It matches the Rfam family "Bacterial small subunit ribosomal RNA", at positions 538 to 763 of the family's 1533-position model. The record is from RNAcentral.